AACGAACGCUGGCGGCAUGCCUAACACAUGCAAGUCGAACGAUACCUUCGGGCCUAGUGGCGCACGGGUGCGUAACGCGUGGGAAUCUGCCUUUCGGUUCGGAAUACUUCAGGGAAACUUGAGCUAAUACCGGAUAACGUCGCAACACCAAAGAUUUAUAACCGAAAGAUGAGCCCGCGUAGGAUUAGCUAGUUGGUGAGGUAAAGGCGCACCAACGCGACGUUGCUUAGCUGGUCUGAGAGGAUGAUCAACUACACUGGCACUGCGACACGGCCCAGAAUCGUACGGGAGGGAGCAGUGGGGAAUAUUGGACAAUGGGCGAAAGCCUGAUCCAGCAAUGCCGGGUGAGUGAUGAAGGCCGUAGGGUUGUAAAGCCCUUUUACCCGGGAAGAUAAUGACGGUACCGGGAGAAUAAGCCCCGGCUAACUCCGUG
Molecule: ribosomal RNA, 433 nt
Filed under: uncultured bacterium
Lineage: Bacteria
Description: partial 16S ribosomal RNA
Rfam family: Bacterial small subunit ribosomal RNA
Source: RNAcentral